CGCACCCACACCUAUCGUUACGCGGUUUUAACUAUAUGUUGUUACGCUUCAACUUAGUAAGUUUGGUGUUUGGAAGAUCCUUUUUAUCUAAAGGACUUUUAAGCGGGGUGACUUCAAUUCUUCGUUAUGCUUCUAAGCAUAGGGAGUUUCGAAGGAGACCUAUGACAGGAAAACGUGGCAGAAAUUAUAACAAAGGCUGGGGUUGUGGCAUUCGCGGGAAGUGGGGAAGAAAUGGUAUAUUUCUUUAUGACCACACUAAAGAUCCACUAUAUGUAGUCCCCGAUCUAACUAAUUGUCAGUUUAAACCUUAUGUGAUGUUAGGCACCGAAGUUCCCAAGGUGUCUCCUGAAACUCAUAAAUCGCUUAUGAAUUAUUUAAAGGAUCAAUAACUGUAGUCAGAUAAAAAUAUUCAAUAAAAGACUUUUGCAACGCUAGAAUAUAUUACGUUAUAAUUUGGGGGAUGCGUAGCUACCUAUUUUUUACGCUUUAAUCGGUAGGAUCACGAACUUGGAUUAAAUAAGACAACCGUGUUGCUUAUG
Long non-coding RNA from Zophobas morio, 539 nucleotides. RefSeq lists it as uncharacterized. The transcript has 5 exons. The record is from RefSeq and is a predicted model, not a curated record. Lineage: Eukaryota; Metazoa; Arthropoda; Insecta; Coleoptera; Tenebrionidae.